AUUGAACGCUGGCGGAAUGCUUUACACAUGCAAGUCGAACGGCAGCACGGGGGCAACCCUGGUGGCGAGUGGCGAACGGGUGAGUAAUACAUCGGAACGUGCCCAGUCGUGGGGGAUAACGUAGCGAAAGUUACGCUAAUACCGCAUACGAUCUACGGAUGAAAGCGGGGGACCGUAAGGCCUCGAGCGAUUGGAGCGGCGGAUGUCAGAUUAGGUAGUUGGUGCGGUAAAGGCUCACCAAGCCUACGAUCUGUAGCUGGUCUGAGAGGACGACCAGCCACACUGGGACUGAGACACGGCCCAGACUCCUACGGGAGGCAGCAGUGGGGAAUGUUGGACAAUGGGCGCAAGCCUGAUCCAGCCAUUCCGCGUGCAGGACGAAGGCCUUCGGGUUGUAAACUGCUUUUGUACGGAACGAAAAGGCUCUGGUUAAUACCUGGGGCUCAUGACGGUACCGUAAGAAUAAGCACCGGCUAACUACGUGCCAGCAGCCGCGGUAA
This 500-nucleotide ribosomal RNA is filed under the name uncultured bacterium. RNAcentral's name for it is "partial 16S ribosomal RNA". It matches the Rfam family "Bacterial small subunit ribosomal RNA", at positions 30 to 523 of the family's 1533-position model. The record is from RNAcentral.